RNAcentral lists this unclassified non-coding RNA (201 nucleotides) under Hevea brasiliensis (rubber tree). Lineage: Eukaryota; Viridiplantae; Streptophyta; Magnoliopsida; Malpighiales; Euphorbiaceae. The record is from RNAcentral.
AAAAAAAUGAUUUUUUUCAUUUCUUUUUUGUUAUUUUAUGUCUCAUUAACAAGAAUUGACUUGGUCAAUUUGGGUAGGCAAAUUAAAAUUGUAUUUUGACAUCAUGAUGAUGUCAUCCAAUGAGGUAAGCAUGAGUUAAUAAACUUUUUUAAAUUUUCUUUUUUCUUUUAUAUUUAUUUUUUUCAUUAGUUCUUUAAUUUA